AAGUCCCGUAACGAGCGCAACCCUUGUCCUUAGUUACCAGCACGUUAUGGUGGGCACUCUAAGGAGACUGCCGGUGACAAACCGGAGGAAGUGGGGAUGACGUCAAGUCAUCAUGGCCUUACGGCCUGGGCUACACACGUGCUACAAUGGUCGGUACAAAGGGUUGCCAAGCCGCGAGGUGGAGCUAAUCCCAUAAAAACCGAUCGUAGUCCGGAUCGCAGUCUGCAACUCGACUGCGUGAAGUCGGAAUCGCUAGUAAUCGUGAAUCAGAAUGUCACGGUGAAUACGUUCCCGGGCCUU
Molecule: ribosomal RNA, 300 nt
Filed under: uncultured Pseudomonas sp.
Lineage: Bacteria; Pseudomonadati; Pseudomonadota; Gammaproteobacteria; Pseudomonadales; Pseudomonadaceae
Description: bacterial SSU rRNA
Rfam family: Bacterial small subunit ribosomal RNA
Source: RNAcentral